This 500-nucleotide ribosomal RNA is filed under the name uncultured Glomus. Its description in RNAcentral is "SSU rRNA". It matches the Rfam family "Eukaryotic small subunit ribosomal RNA", at positions 591 to 1092 of the family's 1831-position model. The record is from RNAcentral. Lineage: Eukaryota; Fungi; Glomeromycota; Glomeromycetes; Glomerales; Glomeraceae.
CCAAUAGCGUAUAUUAAAGUUGUUGCAGUUAAAAAGCUCGUAGUUGAAUUUCGGGAUCAAUAUAUCGGUCGUGCCUUCGGUACGUACUGGUAUCAUUGGUUUCUCCUUUCUGACGAACCAUGAUGUCAUUAAUUUGGUGUUAUGGGGAGUUAGGACUGUUACUUUGAAAAAAUUAGAGUGUUUAAAGCAGGCUUUAGCUUGAAUACAUUAGCAUGGAAUAAUGAAAUAGGACGUUCGAACCUAUUUUGUUGGUUUCUAGGAUCAACGUAAUGAUUAAUAGGGAUAGUUGGGGGCAUUAGUAUUCAAUUGUCAGAGGUGAAAUUCUUGGAUUUAUUGAAGACUAACUACUGCGAAAGCAUUUGCCAAGGAUGUUUUCAUUAAUCAAGAACGAAAGUUAGGGGAUCGAAGACGAUCAGAUACCGUCGUAGUCUUAACCAUAAACUAUGCCGACUAGGGAUCGGAUGAUGUUAAUUUUUUAAUGACUCAUUCGGCGCCUUACG